RNAcentral lists this ribosomal RNA (444 nucleotides) under uncultured bacterium. RNAcentral's name for it is "bacterial SSU rRNA". It matches the Rfam family "Bacterial small subunit ribosomal RNA", at positions 338 to 795 of the family's 1533-position model. The record is from RNAcentral.
CCUACGGGCGGCUGCAGUCGAGAAUAUUCCACAAUGGGCGAAAGCCUGAUGGAGCGACGCCGCGUGCAGGAUGACCGCCUUCGGGUUGUAAACUGCUUUUAACUGGGAAGAACUUUAAUGACGGUACCAGUUGAAUAAGAGGUUGCUAACUCCGUGCCAGCAGCAGCGGUAAUACGGAGACCUCGAGCGUUAUCCGGAUUUAUUGGGCGUAAAGGGUGUGUAGGCGGUUUAAAUAGUCAGAUGUUAAAUCACUGAGCUCAACUCAGUGGCUGCAUUUGAAACGUUUAAACUCGAAACAGAUAGAGGUGAGCGGAACUCAUGGUGUAGCAGUGAAAUGCGUUGAUAUCAUGGGGAACACCAAAGGCGAAGGCAGCUCACUGGGUCUUGUUUGACGCUGAGACACGAAAGCGUGGGUAGCGAAUGGGAUUAGAUACCCGGGUAGUC